Molecule: small nuclear RNA, 108 nt
Organism: Talpa occidentalis (Iberian mole)
Lineage: Eukaryota; Metazoa; Chordata; Mammalia; Eulipotyphla; Talpidae
Source: RefSeq, a predicted model, not a curated record
GUGCUCUAUUCAGCAGCACACACAUUAAAACUGAAAUGAUACAGAGAUGAUUAGCAUGGAUCCUGAUCAAGGAUGACAAAUAUUUCUUAUCAAACAAAAGUUAUACCU